GGGAGUGUGGCGCAGUUGGUAGCGCAGCGGACUUUUAAUCCGUUGGUCGUGGGUUCGAGCCCCACCGCUCCCA
This 73-nucleotide transfer RNA is filed under the name sediment metagenome. RNAcentral describes it as "tRNA-Lys". It matches the Rfam family "tRNA". Rfam says of the family: Transfer RNA (tRNA) molecules are approximately 80 nucleotides in length. Their secondary structure includes four short double-helical elements and three loops (D, anti-codon, and T loops). The record is from RNAcentral.